GUACACAAAAAUGCACAUAUUGUGAGCUCGAUGAGUAGGGCGGGACACGUGGUAUCCUGUCUGAAUAUGGGGGGACCAUCCUCCAAGGCUAAAUACUCCUGACUGACCGAUAGUGAACCAGUACCGUGAGGGAAAGGCGAAAAGAACCCCGGCGAGGGGAGUGAAAAAGAACCUGAAACCGUGUACGUACAAGCAGUGGGAGCACGCUUAGGCGUGUGACUGCGUACCUUUUGUAUAAUGGGUCAGCGACUUAUAUUCUGUAGCAAGGUUAACCGAAUAGGGGAGCCGAAGGGAAACCGAGUCUUAACUGGGCGUUAAGUUGCAGGGUAUAGACCCGAAACCCGGUGAUCUAGCCAUGGGCAGGUUGAAGGUUGGGUAACACUAACUGGAGGACCGAACCGACUAAUGUUGAAAAAUUAGCGGAUGACUUGUGGCUGGGGGUGAAAGGCCAAUCAAACCGGGAGAUAGCUGGUUCUCCCCGAAAGCUAUUUAGGUAGCGCCUCGUGAAUUCAUCUCCGGGGGUAGAGCACUGUUUCGGCAAGGGGGUCAUCCCGACUUACCAACCCGAUGCAAACUGCGAAUACCGGAGAAUGUUAUCACGGGAGACACACGGCGGGUGCUAACGUCCGUCGUGAAGAGGGAAACAACCCAGACCGCCAGCUAAGGUCCCAAAGUCAUGGUUAAGUGGGAAACGAUGUGGGAAGGCCCAGACAGCCAGGAUGUUGGCUUAGAAGCAGCCAUCAUUUAAAGAAAGCGUAAUAGCUCACUGGUCGAGUCGGCCUGCGCGGAAGAUGUAACGGGGCUAAACCAUGCACCGAAGCUGCGGCAGCGACGCUUAUGCGUUGUUGGGUA
Molecule: ribosomal RNA, 852 nt
Filed under: Escherichia coli
Lineage: Bacteria; Pseudomonadati; Pseudomonadota; Gammaproteobacteria; Enterobacterales; Enterobacteriaceae
Description: partial 23S ribosomal RNA
Rfam family: Bacterial large subunit ribosomal RNA
Source: RNAcentral